AUGAGAAACAAGUGGGAGAAGGCAGGGGUCUCCCGUGACACUGCGGCUACAAAAAUGUCCUUCACAUGGACGAGCAUUUUUUCGGCGAGGGAGAACAAGAAAGAGGAGAGGUGCAAAUUCAUGUUGGGUGUGCAAAAGGAGAGAAUGGAUUGGGACUGGAAGCGGGCGGAGAAGAAGCUGAAAACUGAGAGUGAGAAGAUUGAGUUGGAGAAGCAAGAGGCAGUGCUCAAAUGGGGGCUCGAGAAGGUAAAGACAAUUGAAGAGAUUGAGCUUGAGAAGGAGUGGUUGCAAAUUUUGCACGGAAAGCGGAGGAUACGAAGAUCAUGUUGGCGAAUGAAACCUUCUUAG
RNAcentral lists this ribosomal RNA (348 nucleotides) under Triticum aestivum (bread wheat). Its description in RNAcentral is "partial small subunit ribosomal RNA". Lineage: Eukaryota; Viridiplantae; Streptophyta; Magnoliopsida; Poales; Poaceae. The record is from RNAcentral.